UACGUAGGUGACAAGGCGUUGUCCGGAUUUACUGGGCGUAAAGAGCGCGCAGGCGGUCGAUCAAGUCGAGUGUGAAAGCCCCCGGCUCAACUGGGGAGGGUCAUCGAUACUGAUCGACUCGAAGGCAGGAGAGGGUAGUGGAAUUCCCGGUGUGAGUGGUGAAAUGCGUAGAUAUCGGGAGGAACACCAGGUGGCGAAGGCGACUACCUGGCCUGUUCUUGACGCUGAGGCGC
Molecule: ribosomal RNA, 233 nt
Filed under: uncultured bacterium
Lineage: Bacteria
Description: partial 16S ribosomal RNA
Rfam family: Bacterial small subunit ribosomal RNA
Source: RNAcentral